UACAACCAUAGCACGUUGAAACACCGGUUCUCGUAUGAUCACCGAAGUUGAGCAACGUCAAGCCCGGUCAAUACCUAGAUAGGUGGCCGCUUAGGAAUUCCGGGUGCUGUAAG
This is a non-coding RNA of Acanthosepion pharaonis, 113 nucleotides long. The record is from the annotation of a GenBank genome assembly. NCBI's taxonomy places the organism in Eukaryota, Metazoa, Mollusca, Cephalopoda, Sepiida, Sepiidae.